UACACUCCUGCGGGAGGCAGCAGUGGGGAAUUUUGGACAAUGGGCGAAAGCCUGAUCCAGCAAUGCCGCGUGAGUGAAGAAGGCCUUCGGGUUGUAAAGCUCUUUUGUCAGGGAAGAAACGGUGAAAGCUAAUAUCUUUUGCUAAUGACGGUACCUGAAGAAUAAGCACCGGCUAACUACGUGCCAGCAGCCGCGGUAAUACGUAGGGUGCAAGCGUUAAUCGGAAUUACUGGGCGUAAAGCGUGCGCAGGCGGUUUUGUAAGUCUGAUGUGAAAUCCCCGGGCUCAACCUGGGAAUUGCAUUGGAGACUGCAAGGCUAGAAUCUGGCAGAGGGGGGUAGAAUUCCACGUGUAGCAGUGAAAUGCGUAGAUAUGUGGAGGAACACCGAUGGCGAAGGCAGCCCCCUGGGUCAAGAUUGACGCUCAUGCACGAAAGCGUGGGGAGCAAACAGGAUUAGAAACCCGAGUAGUCCCAUG
This 476-nucleotide ribosomal RNA is filed under the name uncultured organism. RNAcentral describes it as "partial 16S ribosomal RNA". It matches the Rfam family "Bacterial small subunit ribosomal RNA", at positions 332 to 799 of the family's 1533-position model. The record is from RNAcentral.